Molecule: ribosomal RNA, 433 nt
Filed under: uncultured bacterium
Lineage: Bacteria
Description: partial 16S ribosomal RNA
Rfam family: Bacterial small subunit ribosomal RNA
Source: RNAcentral
AACGAACGCUGGCGGCAUGCCUAACACAUGCAAGUCGAACGAGACCUUCGGGUCUAGUGGCGCACGGGUGCGUAACGCGUGGGAACCUGCCCUUAGGUUCGGAAUAACUCCCCGAAAGGGGUGCUAAUACCGGAUAAUGUCUUCGGACCAAAGAUUUAUCGCCUUUGGAUGGGCCCGCGUUGGAUUAGCUAGUUGGUAGGGUAAAAGCCUACCAAGGCGACGAUCCAUAGCUGGGCUGAGAGGAUGAUCAGCCACACUGGGACUGAGACACGGCCCAGACUCCUACGGGAGGCAGCAGUGGGGAAUAUUGGAAAAUGGGCGAAAGCCUGAUCCAGCAAUGCCGCGUGAGUGAUGAAGGCCUUAGGGUUGUAAAGCUCUUUUACCCGGGAUGAUAAUGACAGUACCGGGAGAAUAAGCUCCGGCUAACUCCGUG